CUGGCCCUGAAUUAAGGCUGGCAGCUUCCUGAUGUUGUUGAUUUCAAGCAGGAGCCUAAAGAGAUGUCUUUCUAUGAUCUGUUGGCCAUUUCAGAACUUAGGCAGUGAAAUAAAUGGUCAAUUCAUUAGAAAGAAACAGCU
Small nucleolar RNA from Cavia porcellus (domestic guinea pig), 141 nucleotides. NCBI's taxonomy places the organism in Eukaryota, Metazoa, Chordata, Mammalia, Rodentia, Caviidae. The record is from Ensembl.